CGGAGGGUGCAAGCGUUGUCCGGAUUUAUUGGGUUUAAAGGGUGCGUAGGCGGCCUUUUAAGUCAGUGGUGAAAUCCUCCAGCUUAACUGGAGAAAUGCCAUUGAUACUGAAAGGCUUGAGUACAGAUGAGGUAGGCGGAAUUGACAGUGUAGCGGUGAAAUGCAUAGAUAUUGUCAAGAACACCUAUUGCGAAGGCAGCUUACUAAGCUGUAACUGACGCUGAGGCACGAAAGUGUGGGGAUCAAACAGGAUUAGAUACCCUGGUAGUCCACACUGUAAACGAUGAUCACUCGAUGUUGGCGAUAUACAGUCAGCGUCCAAGCGAAAGCGUUAAGUGAUCCACCUGGGGAGUACGGUCGCAAGACUG
RNAcentral lists this ribosomal RNA (368 nucleotides) under uncultured organism. RNAcentral's name for it is "bacterial SSU rRNA". It matches the Rfam family "Bacterial small subunit ribosomal RNA", at positions 526 to 896 of the family's 1533-position model. The record is from RNAcentral.